UGUGAGCUCGAUGAGUAGGGCGGGACACGUGGUAUCCUGUCUGAAUAUGGGGGGACCAUCCUCCAAGGCUAAAUACUCCUGACUGACCGAUAGUGAACCAGUACCGUGAGGGAAAGGCGAAAAGAACCCCGGCGAGGGGAGUGAAAAAGAACCUGAAACCGUGUACGUACAAGCAGUGGGAGCCUCUUUAUGGGGUGACUGCGUACCUUUUGUAUAAUGGGUCAGCGACUUAUAUUCUGUAGCAAGGUUAACCGAAUAGGGGAGCCGAAGGGAAACCGAGUCUUAACUGGGCGUUAAGUUGCAGGGUAUAGACCCGAAACCCGGUGAUCUAGCCAUGGGCAGGUUGAAGGUUGGGUAACACUAACUGGAGGACCGAACCGACUAAUGUUGAAAAAUUAGCGGAUGACUUGUGGCUGGGGGUGAAAGGCCAAUCAAACCGGGAGAUAGCUGGUUCUCCCCGAAAGCUAUUUAGGUAGCGCCUCGUGAACUCAUCUCCGGGGGUAGAGCACUGUUUCGGCAAGGGGGUCAUCCCGACUUACCAACCCGAUGCAAACUGCGAAUACCGGAGAAUGUUAUCACGGGAGACACACGGCGGGUGCUAACGUCCGUCGUGAAGAGGGAAACAACCCAGACCGCCAGCUAAGGUCCCAAAGUCAUGGUUAAGUGGGAAACGAUGUGGGAAGGCCCAGACAGCCAGGAUGUUGGCUUAGAAGCAGCCAUCAUUUAAAGAAAGCGUAAUAGCUCACUGGUCGAGUCGGCCUGCGCGGAAGAUGUAACGGGGCUAAACCAUGCACCGAAGCUGCGGCAGCGACGCUUAUGCGUUGUUGGGUAGGGGAGCGUUCUGUAAGCCUGUGAAGGUGUGCUGUGAGGCAUGCUGGAGGUAUCAGAAGUGCGAAUGCUGACAUAAGUAACGAUAAAGCGGGUGAAAAGCCCGCUCGCCGGAAGACCAAGGGUUCCUGUCCAACGUUAAUCGGGGCAGGGUGAGUCGACCCCUAAGGCGAGGCCGAAAGGCGUAGUCGAUGGGAAACAGGUUAAUAUUCCUGUACUUGGUGUUACUGCGAAGGGGGGACGGAGAAGGCUAUGUUGGCCGGGCGACGGUUGUCCCGGUUUAAGCGUGUAGGCUGGUUUUCCAGGUAAAUCCGGAAAAUCAAGGCUGAGGCGUGAUGACGAGGCACUACGGUGCUGAAGCAACAAAUGCCCUGCUUCCAGGAAAAGCCUCUAAGCAUCAGGUAACAUCAAAUCGUACCCCAAACCGACACAGGUGGUCAGGUAGAGAAUACCAAGGCGCUUGAGAGAACUCGGGUGAAGGAACUAGGCAAAAUGGUGCCGUAACUUCGGGAGAAGGCACGCUGAUAUGUAGGUGAAGUCCCUCGCGGAUGGAGCUGAAAUCAGUCGAAGAUACCAGCUGGCUGCAACUGUUUAUUAAAAACACAGCACUGUGCAAACACGAAAGUGGACGUAUACGGUGUGACGCCUGCCCGGUGCCGGAAGGUUAAUUGAUGGGGUCAGCGCAAGCGAAGCUCUUGAUCGAAGCCCCGGUAAACGGCGGCCGUAACUAUAACGGUCCUAAGGUAGCGAAAUUCCUUGUCGGGUAAGUUCCGACCUGCACGAAUGGCGUAAUGAUGGCCAGGCUGUCUCCACCCGAGACUCAGUGAAAUUGAACUCGCUGUGAAGAUGCAGUGUACCCGCGGCAAGACGGAAAGACCCCGUGAACCUUUACUAUAGCUUGACACUGAACAUUGAGCCUUGAUGUGUAGGAUAGGUGGGAGGCUUGGAAGUGUGGACGCCAGUCUGCAUGGAGCCGACCUUGAAAUACCACCCUUUAAUGUUUGAUGUUCUAACGUUGACCCGUAAUCCGGGUUGCGGACAGUGUCUGGUGGGUAGUUUGACUGGGGCGGUCUCCUCCUAAAGAGUAACGGAGGAGCACGAAGGUUGGCUAAUCCUGGUCGGACAUCAGGAGGUUAGUGCAAUGGCAUAAGCCAGCUUGACUGCGAGCGUGACGGCGCGAGCAGGUGCGAAAGCAGGUCAUAGUGAUCCGGUGGUUCUGAAUGGAAGGGCCAUCGCUCAACGGAUAAAAGGUACUCCGGGGAUAACAGGCUGAUACCGCCCAAGAGUUCAUAUCGACGGCGGUGUUUGGCACCUCGAUGUCGGCUCAUCACAUCCUGGGGCUGAAGUAGGUCCCAAGGGUAUGGCUGUUCGCCAUUUAAAGUGGUACGCGAGCUGGGUUUAGAACGUCGUGAGACAGUUCGGUCCCUAUCUGCCGUGGGCGCUGGAGAACUGAGGGGGGCUGCUCCUAGUACGAGAGGACCGGAGUGGACGCAUCACUGGUGUUCGGGUUGUCAUGCCAAUGGCACUGCCCGGUAGCUAAAUGCGGAAGAGAUAAGUGCUGAAAGCAUCUAAGCACGAAACUUGCCCCGAGAUGAGUUCUCCCUGACUCCUUGA
Molecule: ribosomal RNA, 2442 nt
Filed under: Escherichia coli
Lineage: Bacteria; Pseudomonadati; Pseudomonadota; Gammaproteobacteria; Enterobacterales; Enterobacteriaceae
Description: bacterial LSU rRNA
Rfam family: Bacterial large subunit ribosomal RNA
Source: RNAcentral